UCAGUUGGUCGGGUAGCCGCGCUUCCUUGUAGUAUAAACUACAUAAAAGAUUGAGGUGAGGAAAGUCCGGGCUCCACGGAAACACGACGUCGGAUAACAUCCGGCAAAGGUAACUUUAGGGAUAGUGCCACAGAAAAUAAACCGCCUUUAAAAUUAAAGGUAAGGAUGAAAAGGUGGGGUAAGAGCCCACCGCAUUUUUGGUAACAAAAAUGGCAAGGUAAACCCCGUCGGGAGCAAAACCAAAUAGGGAUGAUGCGGAGAAGUUUAAUGCUUUUUCAGACAUGUUUUCGGUCUAGUCAUCCGGGUAGGUUGCAUGAGACGCCGUGUAAACGUCGUCCUAGAUGAAUGGCUACCACGUUUCGGUUUUUAUCGAAGCCAUACAGAACCCGGCUUAUAGACCAACUGAUUUU
RNAcentral lists this RNase P RNA (410 nucleotides) under Liberibacter crescens BT-1. RNAcentral's name for it is "Bacterial RNase P class A". It matches the Rfam family "Bacterial RNase P class A". From Rfam's summary of the family: Ribonuclease P (RNase P) is a ubiquitous endoribonuclease, found in archaea, bacteria and eukarya as well as chloroplasts and mitochondria. Its best characterised activity is the generation of mature 5'-ends of tRNAs by cleaving the 5'-leader elements of precursor-tRNAs. Cellular RNase Ps are ribonucleoproteins. RNAcentral also lists the same sequence under 1 other name. Lineage: Bacteria; Pseudomonadati; Pseudomonadota; Alphaproteobacteria; Hyphomicrobiales; Rhizobiaceae. The record is from Rfam by way of RNAcentral.